RNAcentral lists this ribosomal RNA (253 nucleotides) under uncultured bacterium. RNAcentral describes it as "partial 16S ribosomal RNA". It matches the Rfam family "Bacterial small subunit ribosomal RNA", at positions 524 to 776 of the family's 1533-position model. The record is from RNAcentral.
UACAGAGGGUGCUAGCGUUAUUCGGAUUUACUGGGCGUAAAGGGUGCGCAGGCGGCCGUGUGUGUGAGGCGUGAAAGCCCGGGGCUUAACCCCGGAAUUGCACCUCAAACUACACGGCUAGAGCAUUGGAGAGGGUAGCGGAAUUCACGGUGUAGCAGUGAAAUGCGUAGAUAUCGUGAGGAACACCAGAGGCGAAGGCGGCUACCUGGACAAUUGCUGACGCUCAGGCACGAAAGCGUGGGGAGCAAAAGGG